UUUUUUUAAAACUAUACACUAACGUACAAUAACUAAGUAACUUGUACAUCUAUUUUGAGUGUAUCUAAAUUUGUACGGGUGAUGGCAUACGCAUUAUACGUGAUACGAGAGACUAAGAAGAUCCAAAAAGUUUAGCUUUUGAUCGCGCAGUCGCUUAGAUACAGCGGCACAGCUUAAAACUCUAUAUUCGUUGUCAUCUACCUGGUCUGACACCUUCAUCAUUUGGCUCAUUCAUACAACCAAGAUAAAUUAUAUUCGUCAACUUGAAUCAUGUCGGAAAAUCAAGAAGCAAAAAUUGAUGCUGGAAAUAUUGAAAAUAAAUUGAAAAAUUUCGGUAUCAAUGGUAGUAUUGAUAUUUUGGAUAAAAAAUUAUUGAAAAGUUCAUCAAUUGAUUCACACAAAGAAGGGACAGUUGUUGUUGAUCCAGCUAAAAAUAAUCCAGUCGAAGAAUUGAAUAAAAUUGAAGUUAAGGAUCAAGUCCCAACUGGCGAAUUAUCAAGAAAUAAUUCAAUCGAUGGAGCAAGAAAUGUUGGUGAGUGCAGGAAUAUAUUGCCCGUAUUAGUAGAAAAUUUAUGCUCGUCCCUUGGAACUAUAAAUGAUGUCUCAGACGAGCCCCUCGCCCCUGACCCAACUUCACGACAAUCAACAAGUCAACAACAAUCAUCUACAUCAUCUUCAUUAUUACCACAAUUAUCAACAUCAACAAUAGCAUCAACAACAUCAAUCCCAUCAACAACAACACGUGAUAUCAAUAAUAAAAAAAUUGAUAUAAAUUAUUUACAAGAUUUAUGUCCAUCAGAUAUUAAAGCAGCAAUAACACGUCUUGAAGAAACUUUAAAAAGUGUUGAUGUUGAUGCAUUGAGUACUGAUAAUGAUUUAGAAGCAUCAGAUAAAACAAUAAUUAUAAAUUUAAUACAAAAUCUUGUAUCAAAUUUAAAAAAAAUUAAAAUUAAUGAUAAUAAUAAUAAAAAUGAUACAAGUCAGUCAAGUCGUCGUACUGGUAAUCGUCAUCGUGGUAAUAGACAUACAAUUGGUGUUAGUAAAGAAGAAUUAGCAAGUGCAAGAAAAUGGCUUGAACAAGAACAUGGACAACAAACAAUUAAAUUUAAACAACAAAAAAUAUUAAAUAAAACAAUUGAAAAAACAAUUACAAAUGAUACAACAUUAUCUAAUGAUACAACAACACAACAAUCAAGUAUUUCAACAUCUCAAAUAUCACCGGAAAAUUAUAAAUUUGUAAAUAGUAUACCAUCUGUUGUUAGAAGUUGUGAUAAACAUAUUAAAGAUGCUAUUAAUCAACAACAAUCAUUACAACAUAAAACAAAAGAUACAGAAUUUAAUAUUGAUAUUAAUGAUAAUACAUUAACAAUUGAACAAACAAUACAACAACAAAAUAAUGAUAUUGUAACAUCAUUAUUACCAACAACAAAUCAAACACAAAAUAAAUCAAAUAAAUUUUUUGCUAAAAAAUCAAAAAUUAAACGUGCAAAUACAAUUGAUAUACCAAAUUAUUUAAAAAUGCAAGAAGAAAAAAAGAGAAAUUCAUUAAAUGGUUAUGCUGAUGUUGGUAAUAGAAUAUCUGGAUUAAGAAAACCAAUUGAUAUUAGUGAUAAAAUAACAUGGAAUUAUUAUGGUAGUCAUCAAACAAUAAGUCCAGCUCCAAUACCAAAUUUUGAGCCAAAAACUGAUAAUGAUAGAAAAUUUCUUGCUCUUAUUAAUAGAAAUAAUAAUAAUAAUAAUAAUAAUGAUAGUAAUAAUAGUAGUAAUAAUAAUUUAUUAAAUAAAGUAAAUUGGAAUGUAAAUGGUAAUGUUAAUCAACCAUUUAAAACAUUUAGCUAUCGUCAAACAAGUUCAGUAGCUGAUAAAAAUUGGAAAAGUAGAUUUUCAAAUAUUAAAACAACAUUUGAUCAACAAUCAUUGCCAACAUCACCAUCAUCAUUACCACCAAUGUCAUCAAGAAGAUCAUCAAGAGAUCAUGAUAUUGAUUUAACAUUAAAAAAUGGUAAUUUAACACCAGAUAGUUGUACAUCUGAACGUGUUAAUACAAUGAAAUUUGGUAAAUUUGAUAAUUCACAUGAUCAAAAUCAAAAUUGUCAACCAUCUUAUUAUAAUCCUGGUAAUGUUGUAUCAAAAUUACCAAUUUUUACACAUGCAGCAACUUCACCAUUUACAAAAAUAUCAAAUCCAUCACCAAAAUAUCCAGAUGGACAUAAUAAAAUUAAUAAAAUAACAGAUAAAACAAUUGAAAAACCAAUAUUAUCAUCAUAUUUACCAAAUUGUGUAUCAAAUGGUUUAUUAAAAGCUAAAGUUAAAAUGUUUGAUCAUCAAAAUUCACCAACACAAAUACCAAAAUCAACAAUAAAUUAUAAUAGAAAAUCAUAUCCAGAAAGAAAUGAAAAUCGUUCUAUUUUUGUAAAACAACAACAACAACAACAAGAUACACCAAUAACAUCAUUAAAAAAUCAACGUAAAAAAGACAAGAUACAUCGUAAUAAUGGACAUUUUUGUAAUGAUGAAAAUGAUGAAGAUGGUGAUGAUGAAGAAGAAGAAUUAAAAACUGUUGAAAAAUAUCCAAAAAAAAAUUCAAUAACAACAACAUCAUCACAGCCACAACAACAGCAUGUACAAUCAGUUGCUGUACAAACAAAUACAAGUGAAUUUGAAAAUAAAAUAAAUAUUCAAGAUGUUACAUAUCCAAAAAAAUUAUCAUAUAAAUUUGUACAACAACCAGAACAUAAAGCAUUUUAUUCAGAAAAUGAAAAUCCAAUUUAUAUACCACCAAAAAUUAUUGAUAAUUAUAGUAAUAAUGAAAUAAUGAUAAAUAGAAGUGAAAAUAAAGCAUUUGAUAAAAUAUUUAUGCCUAUUGAAACUGAUAAAAUGAUUGAAAAUCAAGAUAUAAGUCCAAAUAAAAUUGUAACAAGAUAUACAAGUGCCAUAGCAACGCUUGCUUCAAAUACAUCUGAAUCAAUGAAUCAAGAUAAUUAUGAAUUUAUAAAUAAAUUACCAGAAUUAGGCAAUACAUCUUCUCAACAAAUUUUAAAUGGUAUAGAAAAAAAUCAAAAUCAUUUAAUAACAAAUGUUCAAGAAGCAAGUGAUACACAAAAAGUUAUUGGACCACAGUAUCAACAAUCUUAUCAAAGAUCUUUAAAUGAUCAACAAGACAUUCAACAUAAUUAUCAACAGUCUUAUCCUGUUUUAAAUGGUCAAAGAAAUAUUCAACAUAAUUAUCAACCAUCUUAUCAAGUUGCUGAACGACAAAAUGAUAGUCAAAAAAAUUAUCAACAAUCUUAUUCAACUGGAAAUAAUUGUGAGAGUUAUCAAAAUAAUUAUCAACCUGUUUAUCCAGUAGCAAGUAUUAAAGAUCAAGUCUAUACAAAUUUUAUACCAAAUCAAAUGAGUACAAGUCUUCAGGAUGAUAUUGAUAGACAUAAUAUGUUACAAAAAAAUUUAAUAAAACGUUUACAAGAAAAAUCAGAUGAUGAACAAGAAUUAAUAACAUCACCAUUAUCACCACCGACAAUUGAAGCAAAUAAUACACAAGAUAAAAUAAAUAUAUUUGAAGAAAAAUUACAAAUAAUGCCAAUAACAUUACCAAAAAUAAAUGUUAUUAAUGUUAUAACACCAACAAAAAUAAUUUCACAACCAUCAUUUCCAAUAAAACAAUUAUCACAUCCAAAAACAACAACUAAAACAAAAAUAUUACCAAUUGAUUCAAGUGAUGAAUAUCUUGUAUCAUGUGCUAAUAAACCAAAUCGUUCAAUUGUAUUAUCAAAAUCAGAAUCAUGGCAUCAACUUGCUAUGUUAAAUAAAUCACAAGUUAAUAAUUAUCUUCAAGUACCAACACAAAAUAAUAAUAUAAAUAAUAAUAAACCACCAAAACCAAAUUCACCAUUAUUAAAUCGUUUAUCAAAAAAUUUUGAUAAUGGUAUGAAAAAAAUGGAAGAAAAAGUACAAAGAUAUUUUAAUAAUAGUAAUAAUAAUUCAACAACAAAUUCAACAACAAGUCUUGAUUGUCAAGAUACAAUUAAAAAUAAAACAACAACAACAACAACAAUUAAUAAACGUGAUAAAAAAUUAACAAAAAGAAAUUUUACAACAUUUAAAAAUAGUGGUAAUGCACUUGUUAGAAGUCAAACAAUGCCACAUAUAUUUGAUGAUAAUCUCGACGUUGACGAAGCUUUCGAUAGCCUAUUUGAAGAGGCAACACGCGAUAAUCGACAUUAAUAAUUAUAAUUCCCUUUUAUUUUAUAAAUUCGCAGGUCGUUAAUGAGGGUGGCAUUUAUUGUCCAACAAAGGACUCACUGUUAAGAAACCAAUGUCACCGUUUGCCAAAUUUCGUCUUCUUGAUCGACAAAAUAGUCUUCAACUAAAAAG
Molecule: unclassified non-coding RNA, 4374 nt
Filed under: Aphidius gifuensis
Lineage: Eukaryota; Metazoa; Arthropoda; Insecta; Hymenoptera; Braconidae
Description: probable WRKY transcription factor protein 1, transcript variant X4
Source: RNAcentral